UACGGAGGGAGCUAGCGUUGUUCGGAAUCACUGGGCGUAAAGCGCGCGCAGGUGGCUUUUCAAGUUAGGAGUGAAAGCCUGGGGCUCAACCCCAGAACUGCUCUUAAGACUGAGGGGCUAGAGUGUGGGAGAGGAUAGCGGAAUUCCGUGAGUAGAGGUGAAAUUCGUAGAUAUACGGAGGAACUACAAAGGCGAAGGCAGCUAUCUGGAACACAACUGACACUGAGGCGCGAAAGUGUGGGGAUCAAACAGG
RNAcentral lists this ribosomal RNA (253 nucleotides) under uncultured bacterium. RNAcentral describes it as "partial 16S ribosomal RNA". It matches the Rfam family "Bacterial small subunit ribosomal RNA", at positions 524 to 776 of the family's 1533-position model. The record is from RNAcentral.